UGCAAGUCGAACGGUAACAGGAAACAGCUUGCUGUUUCGCUGACGAGUGGCGGACCGGUGAGUAAUGUCUGGGAAACUGCCUGAUGGAGGGGGAUAACUACUGGAAACGGUAGCUAAUACCGCAUAACGUCGCAAGACCAAAGAGGGGGACCUUCGGGCCUCUUGCCAUCGGAUGUGCCCAGAUGGGAUUAGCUAGUAGGUGGGGUAACGGCUCACCUAGGCGACGAUCCCUAGCUGGUCUGAGAGGAUGACCAGCCACACUGGAACUGAGACACGGUCCAGACUCCUACGGGAGGCAGCAGUGGGGAAUAUUGCACAAUGGGCGCAAGCCUGAUGCAGCCAUGCCGCGUGUAUGAAGAAGGCCUUCGGGUUGUAAAGUACUUUCAGCGGGGAGGAAGGGAGUAAAGUUAAUACCUUUGCUCAUUGACGUUACCCGCAGAAGAAGCACCGGCUAACUCCGUGCCAGCAGCCGCGGUAAUACGGAGGGUGCAAGCGUUAAUCGGAAUUACUGGGCGUAAAGCGCACGCAGGCGGUUUGUUAAGUCAGAUGUGAAAUCCCCGGGCUCAACCUGGGAACUGCAUCUGAUACUGGCAAGCUUGAGUCUCGUAGAGGGGGGUAGAAUUCCAGGUGUAGCGGUGAAAUGC
Molecule: ribosomal RNA, 644 nt
Filed under: Shigella sonnei
Lineage: Bacteria; Pseudomonadati; Pseudomonadota; Gammaproteobacteria; Enterobacterales; Enterobacteriaceae
Description: bacterial SSU rRNA
Rfam family: Bacterial small subunit ribosomal RNA
Source: RNAcentral